CGUGUAGGCGGUCAGGUAAGUGGAAUGUGAAAUGCCCCGGCUCACCCGGGGACCGGCAUCCCAAACUGCCUGGCUUGAGUAUGGGAGAGGAUGGAGGAAUUCCUGGUGUAGCGGUGAAAUGCGUAGAUAUCAGGAGGAACACCGGUGGCGAAGGCGUCCAUCUGGCCCAAUACUGACGCUAAGGCGCGAAAGCUAGGGGAGCAAACG
RNAcentral lists this ribosomal RNA (207 nucleotides) under uncultured Latescibacterota bacterium. RNAcentral describes it as "uncultured Latescibacteria bacterium partial 16S ribosomal RNA". It matches the Rfam family "Bacterial small subunit ribosomal RNA", at positions 568 to 774 of the family's 1533-position model. Lineage: Bacteria; Pseudomonadati; Candidatus Latescibacterota. The record is from RNAcentral.